GCAGUCGCCACGGUAAUACGAAGGGUGCAAGCGUUAAUCGGAAUUACUGGGCGUAAAGCGCGCGUAGGUGGUUCGCCAAGUUGGAUGUGAAAUCCCCGGGCUCAACCUGGGAACUGCAUCCAAAACUGGCGAGCUAGAGUAUGGUAGAGGGUGGUGGAAUUUCCUGUGUAGCGGUGAAAUGCGUAGAUAUAGGAAGGAACAUCAGUGGCGAAGGCGACCACCUGGACUGAUACUGACACUGAGGUGCGAAAGCGUGGGGAGCAAACAGGAUUAGAUACCCCCGUAGUCCCUGUCUCUUAUAC
Molecule: ribosomal RNA, 302 nt
Filed under: uncultured bacterium
Lineage: Bacteria
Description: partial 16S ribosomal RNA
Rfam family: Bacterial small subunit ribosomal RNA
Source: RNAcentral